This 253-nucleotide ribosomal RNA is filed under the name uncultured bacterium. RNAcentral's name for it is "partial 16S ribosomal RNA". It matches the Rfam family "Bacterial small subunit ribosomal RNA", at positions 524 to 776 of the family's 1533-position model. The record is from RNAcentral.
UACAGAGGGUGCAAGCGUUGUUCGGAAUUAUUGGGCGUAAAGCGCGUGUAGGCGGUGGUUCAAGUCGGGUGUGAAAGCCCCCGGCUCAACUGGGGAGGGUCAUUCGAUACUGCUCGACUUGAAGGCAGGAGAGGGUAGUGGAAUUCCUGGUGUAGCGGUGAAAUGCGCAGAUAUCAGGAGGAACACCGGUGGCGAAGGCGGGUCUCUGGGCCGAUACUGACGCUGAGGAGCGAAAGCGUGGGGAGCGAACAGG